RNAcentral lists this unclassified non-coding RNA (255 nucleotides) under Hevea brasiliensis (rubber tree). The record is from RNAcentral. Lineage: Eukaryota; Viridiplantae; Streptophyta; Magnoliopsida; Malpighiales; Euphorbiaceae.
ACUCCUUGAAAUGUUCCAGGUAGAUAUUUAUCCCCUCAAAAUUCACUUGACUGAGACGAUGUAUCGGAUGAUGUGGGAGUACCUUUUUCCAGAGGAAGAACAAGAUUCACAGAGACGGCAGGAAGCAUGGAAGAUUUCUACGGCUGCAGGUUCAAGGCGUGUAAGGAAAGGUUCUUCAGUUCAUGAAGUAUCUGCAUCUAACACAAAAGAGUCAGAGAUGUUUUCCAAAUUAGGUUUCUCCCUCGGUGGUCAAGG